CCUACGGGGGGCAGCAGUGAGGAAUAUUGGUCAAUGGGCGCGAGCCUGAACCAGCCAAGUCGCGUGAGGGAUGACUGCCCUACGGGUUGUAAACUUCUUUUAUCAAGGAAUAAAGUGCGGCACGUGUGCCUUUUUGUAUGUACUUUAUGAAUAAGCAUCGGCUAACUCCGUGCCAGCAGCCGCGGUAAUACGGAGGAUCCGAGCGUUAUCCGGAUUUAUUGGGUUUAAAGGGUGCGGAGAUGGGUUGUUAAGUCAGUUGUGAAAGUUUGCGGCUCAACCGUAAAAGUGCAAUUGAUACUGGCAGCCUUGAGUACAGUAGAGGUAGGCGGAAUUCGUGGUGUAGCGGUGAAAUGCUUAGAUAUCACGAAGAACUCCGAUUGCGAAGGCAGCUUACUAAACUGCCACUGACAUUGAUGCUCGAAAGUGUGGGUAUCAAACAGGAUUAGAUACCCCUGUAGUC
This 460-nucleotide ribosomal RNA is filed under the name uncultured bacterium. RNAcentral describes it as "partial 16S ribosomal RNA". It matches the Rfam family "Bacterial small subunit ribosomal RNA", at positions 338 to 795 of the family's 1533-position model. The record is from RNAcentral.